UGAGAGUUUUUACUCUCGGGGACCGGUCCCUGAAAGGAGAGACCGGUCCCCCAGUGAGCAGUGCUGCGGCAGCCCUGAGGCAACCGGUCCCUGGCGGGCGAGACCGGUCCCCGAGCGCGUCUACGCAGUGAGAGACCGGUCCCGCGCAGGGAGAGACCGGUUCCCGAACGUUGGUUUUUCGGGUUCGCAGCGAGAGACCGGUCCCUGCUGGGGAGAGACCGGUCCCUCUGGGCGAAAACUGCCCAGACCGGGCUGUUGCAAUAUUGGAUUUUUGGGGGGCCUCUUGGGAUUUUGUUGCAAUAGAGGGUCUAUAUGACCCCUCCACUCUCUCCUCUCCCCAUUUCUCUUCUCUCAAC
This 356-nucleotide long non-coding RNA is filed under the name Ananas comosus (pineapple). Its description in RNAcentral is "long non-coding RNA (ACOM_LNC037442)". Lineage: Eukaryota; Viridiplantae; Streptophyta; Magnoliopsida; Poales; Bromeliaceae. The record is from RNAcentral.